This 492-nucleotide ribosomal RNA is filed under the name uncultured bacterium. RNAcentral's name for it is "partial 16S ribosomal RNA". It matches the Rfam family "Bacterial small subunit ribosomal RNA", at positions 29 to 507 of the family's 1533-position model. The record is from RNAcentral.
AGUGCACGCUGGCGGUAGGCCUAACACAUGCAAGUCGAACGGCAGCACAGUAAGAGCUUGCUCUUACGGGUGGCGAGUGGCGGACGGGUGAGGAAUACAUCGGAAUCUACUUUUUCGUGGGGGAUAACGUAGGGAAACUUACGCUAAUACCGCAUACGACCUACGGGUGAAAGCAGGAGAUCUUCGGACCUUGCGCGAUUGAAUGAGCCGAUGUCGGAUUAGCUAGUUGGCGGGGUAAAGGCCCACCAAGGCGACGAUCCGUAGCUGGUCUGAGAGGAUGAUCAGCCACACUGGAACUGAGACACGGUCCAGACUCCUACGGGAGGCAGCAGUGGGGAAUAUUGGACAAUGGGCGCAAGCCUGAUCCAGCCAUACCGCGUGGGUGAAGAAGGCCUUCGGGUUGUAAAGCCCUUUUGUUGGGAAAGAAAAGCAGCAGGUUAAUACCCCGCUGUUCUGACGGUACCCAAAGAAUAAGCACCGGCUAACUUCGUG